AGUGAACGCUGGCGGUAGGCCUAACACAUGCAAGUCGAACGGCAGCACAGUAAGAGCUUGCUCUUACGGGUGGCGAGUGGCGGACGGGUGAGGAAUACAUCGGAAUCUACUUUUUCGUGGGGGAUAACGUAGGGAAACUUACGCUAAUACCGCAUACGACCUACGGGUGAAAGCAGGGGUUCUUCGGACCUUGCGCGAUUGAAUGAGCCGAUGUCGGAUUAGCUAGUUGGCGGGGUAAAGGCCCACCAAGGCGACGAUCCGUAGCUGGUCUGAGAGGAUGAUCAGCCACACUGGAACUGAGACACGGUCCAGACUCCUACGGGAGGCAGCAGUGGGGAGUAUUGGACAAUGGGCGCAAGCCUGAUCCAGCCAUACCGCGUGGGUGAAGAAGGCCUUCGGGUUGUAAAGCCCUUUUGUUGGGAAAGAAAAGCAGCAGGUUAAUACCCCGCUGUUCUGACGGUACCCAAAGAAUAAGCACCGGCUAACUUCGUG
RNAcentral lists this ribosomal RNA (492 nucleotides) under uncultured bacterium. RNAcentral describes it as "partial 16S ribosomal RNA". It matches the Rfam family "Bacterial small subunit ribosomal RNA", at positions 29 to 507 of the family's 1533-position model. The record is from RNAcentral.